RNAcentral lists this ribosomal RNA (465 nucleotides) under uncultured bacterium. RNAcentral describes it as "bacterial SSU rRNA". It matches the Rfam family "Bacterial small subunit ribosomal RNA", at positions 198 to 644 of the family's 1533-position model. The record is from RNAcentral.
GGAGGAAAGCAGGGGAUCGCAAGACCUUGCGCUUUUGGAGCGGCCGAUGUCUGAUUAGCUAGUUGGUGAGGUAAAGGCUUACCAAGGCGUCGAUCAGUAGCUGGUCUGAGAGGACGACCAGCCACACUGGGACUGAGACACGGCCCAGACUCCUACGGGAGGCAGCAGUGGGGAAUUUUGGACAAUGGGGGAAACCCUGAUCCAGCCAUGCCGCGUGAGUGAAGAAGGCCUUCGGGUUGUAAAGCUCUUUCAGCCGGAACGAAACGGUCACGGUUAAUACCCGUGACUACUGACGGUACCGGAAGAAGAAGCACCGGCUAACUACGUGCCAGCAGCCGCGGUAAUACGUAGGGUGCAAGCGUUAAUCGGAAUUACUGGGCGUAAAGCGUGCGCAGGCGGUUUUGUAAGUCAGAUGUGAAAUCCCCGGGCUUAACCUGGGAACUGCGUUUGAAACUACAAGGCUAG